UACGUAGGGGGCAAGCGUUGUCCGGAAUCAUUGGGCGUAAAGAGCGCGUAGGCGGCCCUGUAAGUCCGCUGUGAAAGUCAAGGGCUCAACCCUUGAAUGCCGGUGGAUACUGCAGGGCUAGAGUCCGGAAGAGGCGAGUGGAAUUCCUGGUGUAGCGGUGAAAUGCGCAGAUAUCAGGAGGAACACCAGUGGCGAAGGCGGCGCUCUGGGCCGGAACUGACGCUGAGGAGCGAAAGCGUGGGUAGCAAACAGG
Molecule: ribosomal RNA, 253 nt
Filed under: uncultured bacterium
Lineage: Bacteria
Description: partial 16S ribosomal RNA
Rfam family: Bacterial small subunit ribosomal RNA
Source: RNAcentral